CUUCAGGUAUUGACGGGUUGAUCAUCAUUUGAGAAGCAUCAAAAGCGUUAGAGAUUUGCAGUUCUCCUAGUAGAUAAUUAAAAAAUACACUACAUAAUGGAGUUUCUCGGCUAAGUUGCCCAUAUGCAGCAUGGUAAACGCGAAUCACUACAAAAGGUUGUCAAGAUAUGGGUGAAUUCAAGUUUUUUUGGUUGCUUUCCCCCGGUACACUGAAUGUUUUCGACAUCACCACAAUCCAUAACUUGACCCAGCACAUCUGUAAAAAAAAAAC
Molecule: long non-coding RNA, 271 nt
Organism: Brassica rapa (field mustard)
Lineage: Eukaryota; Viridiplantae; Streptophyta; Magnoliopsida; Brassicales; Brassicaceae
Source: RefSeq, a predicted model, not a curated record